Molecule: ribosomal RNA, 637 nt
Rfam family: 5.8S ribosomal RNA (bases 261-414)
GCGGAAGGAUCAUUAUUGAAUAAACCUGAUGGGUUGCUGCUGGCCCUUCACCGGGCAUGUGCACGCCUGUCUUCUUUAUUUUUCCACCUGUGCACCACUUGUAGGCUUGAAUAGCAUUUUAAUUGGCCUUUGGGACAGCUUUGAGGAAUGCGGCCUUGGUCGCUAUUCUCUCCGAUAUUCAAGUCUAUGUUUUACUAUAYACCCAUUGUUAAACCCAGAAUGUCAUUUACAGGCCUACAAGUGUGCCUAAAACACUAUACAACUUUCAGCAACGGAUCUCUUGGCUCUCGCAUCGAUGAAGAACGCAGCGAAAUGCGAUAAGUAAUGUGAAUUGCAGAAUUCAGUGAAUCAUCGAAUCUUUGAACGCACCUUGCGCUCCUUGGUAUUCCGAGGAGCAUGCCUGUUUGAGUGUCAUUAAAUUCUCAACCCUUCGAGGUUUAUUCUYCGCUGGGCUUGGAUUUGGGGUUUUUUUGCCGGCCCUAAACGGUCGUCGGCUACCCUGAAAURUAUUAGCUGGUCUGCCCCUCUCGCGUCCAUUUGGUGUGAUAGUCUUUUGCGCCGUGGACUGUGGAUGUUUUGGGUGAUCGCUUACAACAGUCUUAAUUGACAACUAUUCUUAACCACUCUUGACCUCAAA